Molecule: long non-coding RNA, 16205 nt
Filed under: Triticum aestivum (bread wheat)
Lineage: Eukaryota; Viridiplantae; Streptophyta; Magnoliopsida; Poales; Poaceae
Description: long non-coding RNA (TAES_LNC013334)
Source: RNAcentral
GAUUGACCGGAGAGUGACGAGUAGAUCUAUCAAGAGUUUUGAGUGCGAAUCAUCUUCAUCAACAUUGCAGGCAAGUUCACACUUUGAUCAUAUCUCUUUCAUACCCAGUUUUUAUUGCAUUAGAUCAAUCCUCAAACAUUGCAUGAUUAGGAUCUAAUUAAAUUGUGGGAACUGGGAAGUAGUUGAGUUAGUACCUAUUACCUGUUUUAAUUAUCAAACCCUUGGGAGUUAGUUCUACGUUGCUAUUACAUUGCCAUGCUAUGCUCGUAGACGUGGAUUGGGUUGAAGUGAUAUUCAUGACAGAUGUGAGAUUGAUAAUAAUGGUUUACUUAAGGUGGCAACUAAAACUCACAUCUGGAUGGAUUGAGGCACCUGGAGAACCCAGUGUUGCCUGUUUGUAUAAGGACCGCCACCCAGGCUCAAAGGGAUCAUAAGAUUAUUCAUGCUAGAAACUUCCGUGUGCAGCCGCAAGCUAUUAUGGGCUCUAGCAUAGUCGAGUAAGUUGUGGGAAACCUUUCCAUGAUGGGCUAGCAGAUGUAGGGGAUUGUAGGUGUACCGGCCUAUCUAUCGGUUAAGGGGACCUCUUCGGAAAGACUGUGUCUCGGUCAUCCGUUUCUGAAACAUCAUGCAGUGCGAGAAAUCCAACGGAGGAGAUCGAGUCUUGUGGGAAAAGUGCACAAACCUCUGCAGAGUGUUGAUGGGAUUCCACAAUCUUACGACGAGUAAGUGAUACGUUAGGGUUACGAUUUCUACACUCAACCUUGCCGUUGGUGUUGAUGGGAAUCCACAACCUUGUUACUUCCGCUAAUUGGAUUGAGGUAAUGGUAUUUACGUUACUUUAUACAUGUGAUUUACCUCUGUUAUAAAUCCUCGAGUGCUGUGUGUGUCAGCAUACCGAUCCAGGGAUGACACUUAAGCACAGAGACUUGAUCCAUUCGGGUCGGGUCGCUACAAUUAACCAAGUGAAUCAUUAUUGCAAAAUCAUACUAGAAAUGCAGUGAUCAUGAUCUCGUGACUCAAGUCCCUCGGACUUGCUUACCAAACGGUGAUCUCUCUCGGAUCACAAGCGGACCAACAUCUUGGCCUUUAAUCGGGUUACCUCGUAACCGAACGGUGAUCUUUUUCGGAUCACAAACUGACCAACAACUUGGUCCUUAAUCGGGUUACCUUGUAACCAAACGGUGAUCUUUCUUGGAUCACAGACGGACCAACGACUUGGUCUCCAUCAACCAACUGGUUUCUCAACCAUCCUCUUUCCAAUAGUGCAAAGUUAUUAUCUUAGUGUGCAAAAUUAUUUAAAUGUUGACCCAUGGUGUGACCUACUUUCGAGCAUGUCUGUAACCAUGGACUCGGCUAUCGAUAGAUUAAAUACACUCUGCAGAGGUAGCACAUUGUACCCACACCACGGAACCCAUGGCCUCGCACUCCCAUUCGGGUGGACCAACGACAUUCCGACAGAACCCCUCCAUUGCCAUGACACUCUCCCGGCCACUCCGACUCCCCACUGGGCUAAGUCCUGGGUGGCCCCGUGUCUACCAAAGACACCAACGGCCACGAUCGUGGCAAAAGGCCACCAUCGUGGCAAAACAUAAACGGUCCCAAACGGGGACAAGCUACCAUAACAACAACGGGCGCACAAGGUUAUGUCUGCUUACCGGGCCAGGGUAACACACGCCCAUAACCUUCCCUCGUUGGAGGAACCGACCAGAGGCAUGACAACGGACUGAAUAAUGGCCUCCCCUUAAAGGCAAAUGUGGUUGCACUAGGAAAAACUCGAAUCAGUGGCACCAUGGCCUGAUCAACGAUAUGUUCAAGUUGAGUCAUUAUCAGGUUCAACGUAAAGUAAAAUUAAUCGGUGUCAUGAUAUGCCAUGCAAAUGCAAUCAUAAAACAAGCAUCACUUAUCAUUUGAACAAUAACAGGUCAACUAUAUCAAGCACUAACCAUACAUAUCAGAAACUCAUAACACUUUUCUAGUUAUGAUUAUUCAGCAAACUAACCAUGACAAUAUCUUAGCAUAAUUCUUUUCUCACUCGAGAAAAUAUUAAGCCAACUAAUUAUUUUCAUAAAAAAAUUACUUCUUCCUAAUCAAAUAUAACUUCUAGUGACUUAAACUAACUUAGUUAGCCUUAAUGUUCUGUAACAAACAUAUCAACACAAACAAGCAUUCAACAGAAUAAAUGUAUAUUUAUUUUAGUGAUUUAAAUGCAUGAACUAAAUUAUUCACUCAAGUAGAAGAAUCACAAAUAUUGUAAUGGCACCAUGAAAACGUUGUUGUGGCUUGCCUUAGUGCACGUGAGGUUCAGACUCCUCCUGGUGAUCCUCAAGACAAGCUUCACCUUCUGAAAACAAUUAUAAACAUAAAAAGAAAACAUCAAGAAACACUCUGAAAUUCACAAGAAAAUCUAGACAGCAGAGAAAAAUCUCAUUUUUGGUGUGCUGCUAGAUAUUUUCAAAAAGAACACAAUGCAAAAAGAAUCAAUUCAUUUGGACUUAUGGUUAAAGAGUUGUGGUUGUUUAAAGCUCUCUGCUUAAAUUUAAAUUUGAUUUAAAUAAAAACUGAUCUGGGGGGGUUAUCGUCGAAGACGUAAACCCGCGGGGCGCCUCCAUCAUACCGUUUCGGGCGUGGCCAGAGUGGCUGACAGCGGGCCCCGCUAGUCAUGUGAGAGGGAGGGGAGAAGGAAACAGAGCACGGCGGGGCUCCGCCGGAGCACACGCCAGCGAGGAGGGCAUCUUGGCCCGAGCUAGAGGGAUAGAUCGAUGGAGAAGACUGAGGCGCACCUGCCCAUACCCGUAGAUUAGCUAGGGGUGGUUGGACGGCGUCGGAAAGUACCUCUCAAGUGGCGGCAGAGAGCGAAGGUCGCCGGAGUUGGGGAUGACGGCGACCAGAGGCUGCACUAGUGGCUCCAACAAUGCCGGACGGCACCACUGAAGCACGGCGGAGGCUCUGGAAGAGUGGCCCGAGCCUAGGAGGGGAUGGAGCUGUGGAGACGACCCGAGGGGAUCGCCGGCGAGCUCGAGCUCGAGGACGGCGACCCGAGGUCUGCCCGGCUGGGCUACGGCUUCCUACGGUCUUAUGGAGUGUGUGUGGUGAGUUGGUGAUGCUCGAGAGAGCUGGGGAGGACAGCAUUUAUAGGCGAGCAAGAGGAGGGGAUCGGGCUCCGCCAGAGGACACCUGGACACGGCGCCCGACGACGAUCGACAUCAGUGAGUGAGGGGGAAGGCGACGCAGCUCACGCAGGCACUGUGGGUGGGCGGCGACGAGCACAAGAUCGAGGGGGGUGGUGAUGAACACAGUGCGCGGCGCACUAUGCGGUUGGCCGGACCGCGCCCGUGCUCGCUGCGGUGAGGUCCGGCGUCAGCGAGCGCCAGGAGGGAGUUAAGGGAGUAGAGUCGGGGAUGGUGGCGAGGUUUGGCAAGGUGCGGCAGCCUGGGAAGUGAGCACGCCACGCACAGAGCGCUCGGCGGCACCCACAGCGUCGGUUAGCCGGCUGGCACCGUGCACAUGCGUGGCCACCGCGUGCACUUCGGCAUAGCGGCAUGGUUGGCCCCAAUUUCAUGUCUGGCGUGUAGUCCUUAGGGUUUAGGGUUGAUCCAAUGCUUUGAGUCGAGCACAGGUGCUGUAAGAUUGAGUGUUACUUCAUGGUAAGUUUCUGAACAGUAACUCUGAGAGUUAACUGUGGCCAAUAUACUGGGAGUUGGGUGCUGAGCUUUGGAGGUUAGCAAUCAUCUAGGAAGGUAGUGAUGCACAAGAAAUUUCAGCAGCAUUGGAGCAAGUAAAAUUGUAGUUGCUGUAGAAACUACCAUUUCUGUCCAGAACAGAAAAUAUUGUCUAUAGCAAAAAUAUUCCUAAAAGUGAUGCAAUAUUUUUGCUCAGGAAGGAGCCCUAGUGUCGAAAGAAUAUUUGGGAAUUUUCUCAGAUUUCUUUGGGCAAGAAAAAUUGGGGUUGCUUUGGAGCACAAGUGGCUGGUUAGGGUUUUAGAGGAGAAAAUGAAUAUUUUUUAUUUAAGAAAAAUAUUCAUAAUAUUAUUUUGAGCUUGACCAGAGAAGAAAUGAUGGCUAGAGAGAGAAAUGAGUCACUUGGGUGAAAGUCAAGGUGGUACCCAAGUGUUUAAGUCCAACUGAAGUGAUUCAAAACUCCAAAUUCAAAUCAAAAACCAAAUAAAAAUCAAAAAAGAAGAGAGGGCAAAAACCAGGCUGUCACAAACCUCCCCCACUUAGGAUGAAUCUCAUCCUCGAGAUUCGGUUGCUCGGGAAAACAAUUCUGGAUAGUUUGCCUUUAGAAACUCUUCCCGUUCCCAAGUUCCUUCUUCCUCUGUGUGAUGCUCCCACUGAACCUUGAAAUUUUUCUCGUUUUACUACGAGUGACCCUUUCCACCUCAUCCAAAAUCCUGAGCGGUCUGUCUUCAUACGUUAAAUCCUUAGCCAACUCUAGUUCUGCCAUAGCAGUCUUUUCUCGGGCGAUGAUAUACAUCGUCUCAACUGGGAGACAUGGAACACAUUGUGCACUUCGGACAAUUCUGGGGGCAGUUCCAACUGAUAUGCAACAGUACCCACUCUGGACAUAACUGGGAACGGACCAAUAAACCUAGGUGCCAAUUUUCCGCGAGUCUGAAACCUUUUGAUUCCCUUCAUAGGAGUGACUCAGAGGUAUACAUGCUCUCCGGGUUCAAAACUGACCUGUUGGUGCUUUGCAUCAUAGUAACUCUUUUGUCAGGAUUUGGCUAAUUGCAAUCGGUCUCAGAUUUCCCUGACUUGCUUUUCAGCUUCCAUCAUGAGAUCUGUUCCGAAAAUGCGGCUAUCUCCGGUUUGAGACCAAUUCAACGGAGUGCGGCACUUAUGGCCAUACAGAGCCUCAUAAUGUGACAUCUUUAAACUGGCCUGGAAACUGUUGUUUUAGGAGAACUCGGCAUACGGCAGACAGUCUUCCCAUUUAGGCCCUUGGGCUAAGGCACAUGCUCGAAGCAUAUCUUCGAGUAUUUGGUUUACCCUCUCAGUCUGUCCAUCAGUCUGAGGUCGAUAAGCGGUACUAUAUUUUAGCGUUGUUCCCAAAGCUUGAUGCAGACGUGACCAAAAAGCGGAGGUAAAUAGUGACCCCCGGUCAGAAGUGAUUGUUCGAGGUACUCCAUGCAGACUGACUAUUCUGGACACAUACAAUUGUGUGAGCUGAUCGGCUCGGUAUGUGGUUCUGAUGGGAAUAAAAUGAGCUACCUUGGUUAAGGUGUCAACUAUGACCCAUACUGCGUCAUUGCCUUGCUGAGUCUUCGGUAGCCCUGUGAUAAAUUCCUUGCAGAUAUCAUCCCACUUCCAUUGUUGAACGGGUAACGGUUGGAGGAGUCCGGCUGGUUUCUUGUGUUCUGGCUUCACUUUGUUGCAUAUGACGCAACAGGCCACAAAAUAGGCAAUGUCUUUCUUCAUCCCAUCCCAUCAGAAUAUUUUUUGAAGGUCCUCGUACAUUUUAGUACCUCCGGGGUGAAUAGAAUACGAAGAUUUGUGUGCUUCUGACAGUAUUCUCUUCCUUAAAUCUUCUUGCCUGGGUACACAAAUCCUUCCAUGGAAUCGCAGUGUACCUUGUUGAUCCUUAGAAAAAUCUGAGGUCUGUCCUGCUAACAUACGCCUGGCAUGUUUCUGUAGGACUGUGUCAUUUGGCUGGGCCUUGCAGAUCUCUUCCUCGAGGGUAGGAGUAACUUCCAUAAUAUUAGCAAGACCAGCACCACCUAUGACCAGAUUGAACUGAGCAAUCUCUUCUUGGAGUUCAGGAGGCAAGGAUUCCAUCAUGGUAUUCAGACUAACAGGCUUUUGGCUGAGUGCAUCGGCAACCACGCUGGCCUUACCCCGGGUGGUAAUUUAUUCCAAGAUCAUAGUCAUUGACUAACUCGAGCCACCUCCAUUGGCGGAGAUUCAGAUCUGGCUGAGUGAAUAUGUAUUUGAGACUUUUGUGGUCGGUAAUGAUUUGGCACCUUUUUCCAAUGAGAUAGUGUCACCAAAUUUUUAGAGCAUGAACCACCAUGGCCAAUUCCAUAUCAUGAGUAGGAUAGUUCCCCUCGUGGGGUCAUAGCUGUCAAGAUGCAUAUGCUACCACCGUGCCAUCUUUCAUAAGUACGCAUCCAAGACCUUGUCUAGAGGCAUCACAGUACACAUCAAAGCUGCGGUAGAUGUCUGGAAGAGUCAACACAGGUGCUGUUGUCAGUCUGGUUUUCAGCUCAUUGAAACUUUUCUCGCAAUCCUCGUUCCAUUAAAAUUUCUUAUCUUUCUUGAGAAGCUCUGUCAUUGGCUUGGCAAUCUUAGAGAAACCUUCAAUAAAACGGCGAUAGUAUCCAGCUAAUCCAAGGAAACUCCGGAUUUGAAAUACUGUCGUGGGUGCCAACCAAUCAAGCAUGUCCUUUACCUUGCUUGGAUCUACGGCUAUACCUUCUGCGGACAGUAUAUGCCCAAGAAAUCCAACAUGCUUGAGCCACGAUUUGCAUUUACUGAAUUUAGCGUACAGUUGAUGGUCACGAAGUCUUUGUAGGACAGCUCUAAGGUGUCCUUUGUCCUCUUCUUCAAUUUUUGAGUAUAUGAGAAUAUCAUCGAUGAAAACCACCACAAAUUUAUCGAGGAAGUCUAUGAAUACUUUAUUCAUCAUAUGCAUGAAGAAAGCAGGGGCAUUGGUAAGUCCGAAGGAACUAACAGUAUAUUCAUAAAGACCGUACCGAGUAGUGAACGCGGUCUUAGGAAUAUCUUCCUUUUUAAUUUUGAGUUGGUGGUAUCCUGUCCUUAAAUCAAUUUUGGAGAAUACUUUUGCCCCACUGAGCUGAUCAAAUAAGUCAUCAAUCCUGGGCAGUGGAUAUUUGUUUUUGAUGGUGACAUCAUUCAGCUGACAGUAAUCCACACACAUACGGAGACUACCAUCUUUCUUAUCCACGAAUAUAGCAGGUGAUCCCCAUGGUGAAGAGCUGGGGCGGAUAUAACCUUUCUGGAGCAUCUCAUCAAGCUAUUUCUUUAGCUCCACUAAUUCUGACGAAGGCAUCCGAUAACAUUUCUUAUAUAACGGUGCGGUUCCGGGCACAAGAUCUAUUGCAAACUCAAGCUCUCAGUCUUGCGGCAUGCCUGGUAGUUCUUCUAGGAAUACAUCGGGAAACUCACCGACCACAGGAAUUAAUUCCAAUUCACCAGCCACAACGGUGAAGACUAUUUCUUUCUUGGGUAUGCUUCUGCAGGCAUAGAAUUUUGUAGUCUGCCCCCUCUUGGCUUGUCAAGGUGACUUCUCGGGUCAUGCAAUUAAUGCAUACUUGAUAUUGGGUUAACCAAUUCAUCCCCAAAAUAAUGUCCACCUUGACAGACUCAAUGACUAUCAAAGAAGUUGGAAAACAGACUCCGUUGAUACCGAUUUCCAGAUUACAGCAAACCAGAUUGCUUCUGAGGAAAGAUCCCGGGGAUUGUAGCAGCAUAUUCUUGCUCAAAAUCGAACAAGGAAAUUUGUUUUGGGCAGCAAAACUCCGCGAAAUAAAAGAGUGGGAAGCCCUAGAGUCAAAUAAAAUUAUGGCAGGUAUGCUAUUAACAUAAAACAUACCAAUGACAACCUCGGGGUUUUCUUGGGCUUCGUCUGUGAAGAGGUGAUGGACUUGCCCGGUGAUGUUUUUCUGGACAGGGUAUGGCCCCAUAAAGUUGACUUGUGGCCUGAAUGGAGCAUUAGUCUUGCCGUUCUUGGGACAUUGCCUGGCUUAAUGUCCGGUUUGCCCACAACUGAAAGAAGAAUUGUUGUGCUAGCACUCUUCUCGCACCGGGUUGGUCACGACAUUCUUGACUUGUGUAGUGGUUUUGUUAACAUUCUGCUGCCAAUUAGGUUUGUAAUCUACUUGAGUAUACUGCUAGGUACGAGCCUUUUGCGCGGGUUGAACCUCCUUCCUCGGCUCGAACUUGCGCUUGUGAUCAUUAUUUGUCGGCUUGUUGUCGUGUAUCAGCUUGUGCUCUCUUUCAGCAAUGAGGGCCUUGUUCACCAGAGUUGGGAAAUCAGGGAUGUCAAACAUACUGAGGGUGCAUCGGAGAUGCUGGUUUAAUCCCCCAAGAAACCUGUCAAUCUUUCUUUCUUCGGUGACCACAUCAUAGAGGGAGUAACGAGCCAAAUGAUUGAACUUAUGCAAAUAUUCACUCAUAGACUGACUUCCUUGGAUGAGCGUGAGGAAUUCACGCUGCUUGACCUUCAAAAUUCUAGCAAGAAUAUGGUAUUUACGGAACUGGUCCUUGAAUUUUGUCUAGGUGAUUUCUUCAUCAGCAGGCCACAUUGCUUUUGCAUUUCCCCACCAUAUUGCGGCAGCGCCGUCAAGAUAAUGAGUUGCAAACGGGACUUUGUCAUCCUCUUCAGUACGAGCAAUCUCAAGCUUCUUCUCAAUGGUUCGUAACCAGUUGUCUGUGUCCAAGGGAUCAAUAACCUGACUGAAACUAGGAGGCUUGGUUCUGUGAAAAUCUGACCGUUUGGAGUGAUGACUAUUCUGAUUUCCAUUCUGCCCAACCAUAGGUUGCACACUCCUUAAUAUUUCAGUCAGAUCAUUAUUCCUCCUUUCCUCAAACUUACGUAGAAUUUGCUCGGUGGAGGGCGGAUUUGGCGGUGGAGGCGGUGGUGGAAUGUACGGCUCGGGGGAGUGUCCUGCUUGUCAUGCGGAACGACGAAUAGGGACAUCCUCACAAGCGUCGCUACUGCUGCCUCCCCGCGUCAUCCUAUUGUUUUUUUCAAGACAACGCAACCGAGAUGGGCAACAUCCAAAAAUAUAGUGGGGAAAAGCCAACGACAAAAACCCGAAAGAAAACGAAAUAACGAAGGAAACACGUCGAAUAAGAAAGUUCCAACAUAAUUAUACAUAGACUUGUACAUAAAAGAUAAAUGACAUGAUAAGUUCAACUAGUCUCAUACAUGAAACGGAACAUCAUGACUUGUAUGACUACAUCCGUACAUCCACCUUACAACUGCGGAUACUCGAGCGCUCUAGUGCUCUGCUGGUGCUGUGGGGUCCUCUCCUGAAGCGAACUCGGAUCCUGAACUGACCAGGUUAACCGAGACCUCCGGGUUAAAGGUAACACGACGACGCUGCCUCGAGGACUCUCCCUCCAGAGCAGGUGCAGGGUAGGGCUGAAGCAUCGGGGCUACGGGGGUAGUGAGAAGAGAAACCCACUCAGCAGGAGCACUAAGAGGAUUCACGGUCGAGGUGCCCGAGCUACUCGUAGGAGUAACAAGUGAAAGAGGUGAAAUAGAACUAGAUGGAAUAUAAGGAGUAAAUCCCGUAGACGAUGGAGUAGUGAAAGCUCUAGUAGCAGCUAAAGCAGUACGAGCAUGAGUCAGCUCUCGAGCCAGCUCGUGAAUCAGAAGGUAGCUAGCAGUGAUGUAGCGAGAAAGGUGGCAUGCAGUACUAUCGGACUCCGGAUCAAUGAUAGGAAAACGGAAACGGCCAUUGUCGUGCAAGGAGGCAUAGUAAUGGAAGCCUGGAUGGUUCUACAUUCGGACCUCGUUAUAGCGCAGCUCGUCGAGGACCUCAAAUGCAGCAAACUGGACAGCCUGAGAAGUGGUAGAAGCGAAACCGCUCCUGGAGGUACGAAUGUAAGUGCUGGACGAUGAACUGGUGCGCAGAGUAACCAAUGCGUGAUACUCAUACACUGAGUCUACUAGACGCUCCCGGUACACACGAUAGACUGGGUCAUCACCGAGAGGGUACAGCCGACGCCACAUGUUACGAAGGAGAUGCGGCGAGGUGUACGUCAUCAGCUGCAACUGGCAUGGAUAUGGCACCGGGUCCAUCUACACUCACAGCCAUUAAUAAAUUAGAAUAAAAAUAAACGAGUGUAUGCAAUGCAACAAUCAGCUACAAACGUUACCGGCACUCAACUUUUACUCUAGCUAACGUCCAGGAACACGGCGGUAGCCUCGUGUCCUACAGUCAGCGCGGCUCUGAUACCAGGUGUUGUGGCACCGCGGCUCAGAGCAACCGGUUUACCCAGUAUUGCCAGCCCAGAGACCAUGUCUUCUGGCAACACACAAUAUCUUGGUAUAGAAUACAACCGCUUUAUUGAUGCUAGCGGAACAUGGUUCAUAUUACAACAAGUUGUGUGGCCAAGCGGCACACACGGUGUGGCUGAACAAUAUGUACAUUAUUUAGUGAACAUAAAGGGUCCUCGAUCACAACAACUACACGGCAGCGGAACAACGACGAAGCGGGACUCCAUAGCACAGGGACACCGACGUGGACACGAUCUAGACACGGACAGCACUUCGUUCCAACGAGACUUUCCGGAAAGCUAGCAUGACACGCCAGGUCAGUACAUUGAAUGUACUUGCCAGCUCGCAACAAGCAUAAACAUAAUGACAAACAAUAUCAUGAUAAUUAAUCAAGUGGAUCAUUAUUGCAAAAUCAUACUAGAAAUGCAGUGAUCAUGAUCUCGUUACUCAAGUCCCUCGGACUUGCUUACCAAACGGUGAUCUCUCUCGGAUCACAAGCGGACCAACAUCUUGGCCUUUAAUCGGGUUACCUCGUAACCGAACGGUGAUCUUUCUCGGAUCACAAACUAACCAACAACUUGGUCCUUAGUCGGGUUACCUCGUAACCAAACGGUGAUCUUUCUCGGAUCACAGAUGGAUCAAUGACUUGGUUUCCAUCAACCAACUGGUUUCUCAACCAUCCUCUUUCCAACAGUGCAAAGUUAUUAUCUUAGUGUGCAAAAUUAUUUAAACGUUGACCCAUGGUGUGACCUACUUUCUAGCGUGUCCGUAACUGUGGACUCGGCUAUCGAUAGAUUAAAUACACUUUGUAGAGGUAGCGCACUGUACCCACACCACGGAACCCAUGGCCUCACAUUCCCAUUCGGGUGGACCAACGGCAUUCCGAUCUCCAUUGCCAUGACACUCUCCUGGCCACUCCGUCUCCCCACCGGGCUAAGUCCUGGGUGGCCCCGUGUCUACCAAAGAAACCAACAGCUAACGUCGUGGCAAACGGCCACCAUCGUGGCAAAACAUAAACGGUUCCAAAUGGGACAAGGUACCAUAACAACAACGGUCACACAAGGUUAUGUCUGCUUACCGAGCCAGGGUAACGCACGCCCAUAACCUUCCCUCGUUGGAAGCACCGACCAGAUGCAUGACAGCGGACCGAAUAAAGGCCUUCCCAUAAAGGCAAAUGUGGUUUCACUGGGAAAAACUCAAUUCAGUGGCACCAUGACCCGAUCAACGAUAUGUUCAGGUUGAGUUAUUAUCAGGUUCAACUUAAAGUAAAAGUAAUCGGUGUCAUGAUAUGCCAUGCAAAUGCAAUCAUAAAGCAUGCAUCACUUAUCAUUUGAACAAUAACAGGUCAACUAUAUCAAGCACUAACCAUACAUAUUAGAAACUCAUAACACUUUUCUGGUUAUGAUUAUUCAGCAAACUAACCAUGACAAUAUCUUAGCAUAAUUAUUUUCUCACUCAAGAAAAUAUUAAGCCAACUAAUUGUUUUCAUAAAAAAUUACUUCUUCCUAAUCAAGUAUAACUUCUAGUAACUUAAACUAACUUAGUUAGCCUUAAUGUUCUGUAACAAACAUAUCAACACAAACAACCAUUCAACAGAAUAAAUGUAUAUUUAUUUUAGUGAUUUAAAUGCAUGAACUAAAUUAUUCAUUCAAGUAGAAAAAUCACAAAUAUUGUAAUGGCACCAUGAAAAUGUUGUUGUGGCUUGCCUUAGUGCAGGUGAGGUUCACACUCCUCCUGGUGAUCCUCAAGACAAGCUUCACCUUCUGAAAACAAUUAUAAACAUAAAAGAAAACAUCAAUAAACACUCUGAAAUUCACCAGAAAAUCUAGACAACAGAGAAAAAUCUCAUUUUUGGUGUGCUGCAAGAUAUUUUCAUAAAGAACACAAUGCAAAAAAGAAUCAAUUCAUCUGGACUUAUGGUUAAAGAGUUGUGGCUGUUUAAAGCUCUCUGGUUAAAUUUAAAUUUGAUUUAAAUAAAAACAGAUCUGGGGGGUGACGUCGAAGACGUAAAUCCGCGGGGCGCCUGCACUCGUACCGCUUCAGGCAUGGCUAGAGUGCUGACAGCGGGCCCUGCUAGUCAGGUGAGAGGGAGGGGGAGAAGGAAACAGAGCACGACAGGGCUCCGCCGGAGCACAUGCCGGUGAGGAGGGCAUCUUGGCCCGAGCUAGAGGGAUAGAUCGAAGGAGAAGACUGAGGCGCACCUUCCCGUACCCGUAGAUUAGCUAGGGGUGGUCGGACAGCGUCGGAAAGGACCUUUCCAGCAGCGGACGAGAGCGGAGAUCGCCGGAGUUGGGGAUGACGGUGACCAGAGGCUGCACCAGCGGCUCCAACCGGGUCGGACGACACCACUAAAGCAUGGCGGAGGCUCUGGAAGAGUGGCCCGAGCCUGGGAGGGGCUGAAGCUAUGGAGACGACCCGAGGGGAUCGCCGGCGAGCUCGGGGACGGUGACCCGAGGCCUGCCCAGCAAGGCUACGGCUUCCUACGGUCUUGUGGAGUGUGUGUGGUGAGUUGGUGAUGCUCGAGAGGGCUGGGGAGGACAACAUUUAUAGGCGAGCAAGAGGAGGGGAUCGGGCUCCGCCGGAGGACACCUGGACAUGGCGCCCGACGACGAACGGCGUCAGUGAGCCAGGAGGAAGGCGACGCAGCUCGCGCGGGCACUAUGGGUGGGCGGCGAUGAGCACAGGAUCGAGGGGGAGGCGACGAACAUAGUGCGCGGCGCACUAUGCGGUUGGCCGGACCACGCCCGUGCUCCCUGCAGCGAGCUCCGGCGUCAGCGAGCGCCAGGAGGGAGUUAAGUGAGUACAGACAGGGAUGGUGGCGAGGUUUGGCGAGGUGCGGCAGCCGGGGAAGCGAGCACGCGACGCACAGAGUGCUCAACGGCACCCAGAGCGCGUCGGUUAGGCGGCUGGCACCGUGCACACGCGUGGUCACCGUGUGCACUUUGGCAUGGCGCCACGGCUGGCCCCAAUUUCAUGUCUGGCAUGUAGUCCUUAGUGUUUAGGCUUGAGCCAAUGCUUUGAGUCGAGCUCAGGUGCUUUAAGAUUGAGUGUUACUUGAUGGUAAGUUUCUGAACAGUAACUUUGAGAGUUAACUGUGGCCAAUCUACUAGGAGUUGGGAGGUGAGCUUUGGAGGUUCGCAAUCAUCUAGGAAGGUAGUGAUGCACAAGAAAUUUCAGCAGCAUUGGAGCAAGUAAAAUGGUAGUUGCUGUAGAAACUACCAUUUCUGUCCAGAACAGAAAAUAUUUUUUAUAGCAAAAAUAAUCCAAAAAGUGAUGCAAUAUUUUGCUCAGGAAGGUGCCCUAGUGUCCAAAGAAUAUUUGGGAAUUUUCUUAGAUUUUUGUGGGCAAGAAAAAUUGGGGUUGCUUUGGAGCACAAGUGGCUGGUUAGGGUUUUAGAGGAGAAAAUGAAUAUUUUUCAUUUAAGAAAAAUAUUCAUAAUAUUAUUUUGAGGUUGACCAGAGAAGAAAUGAUGGCUAGAGAGAGAAAUGAGUCACUUGGUUGAAAGUCAAGGUGGUGCCCAAGUGUGUAAGUCCAACUGAAGUGAUUCAAAACUCCAAAUUCAAAUCAAAAACCAAAUAAAAAUCAGAAAAGAAGAGAGGGCAAAAACCAGGCUGUCACACGAAUAAAGUACAUCAUCUAGACCUUCUGGCACGCUUGAUCAUGGCACUGCGGCUGUCUGUGUACUUGUCAGUUACGGGAAGCAGACACACCCUCAUGUCCAAGAUCCGCCUGUACAUAUCGUAGCAUGCGUAUGCGUCCUUGGUCGUGUAGGAUCGAUUCAGAGGUAUCUCCCACAUGUUCAGGUCCUUGGCAUCGACGUCUUCUUUCAUGUUGGCAUAGCAGGGGUCGAGGAUGGUCGGGUGAGGUCAACCACAGAGUCCUUCUCCUGACUGUUGCCGAUGAUCUUGUAUUGCUUCUCGAUGUCGAAAAGCUUCUUGCACCAGAUGGCCGAAUCAUAAAGCAUAGUCGUGUUCUUCAUGAUCUCCACCGUACUGAUGGUGCAGUUGGCGCUGCCGAUGAAACGGGCGAAUGCUUCAGAACCUCUUGUGGCCCUACAGAACUGGUAGAUGAGAACCUCGUCCCGCACGUAUACUUGGGCGACGGCGAUCCACUCGUCCCUGUCAUGAGAUGAAUGGAUGGGCACAAGGUCUAGUCCCGCGACCUUGUGCUUUCUCCUCCUGUAGGUACUGCUUGAGCUUGGCGAGGUAGAGCUUCACCGAGUCAGGAUCAUUGGUGUACAACACAUUCAACUUGGUGCUUCCAUGAGUCUGAAUGGCGAACUCAAAGUUGAACUCCUUGCUGAAGUCCAUAUGCAGCUGUCGCACCCCUCGGAUCGCCAUUAGAGUCUCUUCUCACGCAAAGUUGAUGUGGCAAUUCUCGUUUUGUGGGGAUUGGGGGAAGGGGGAGAGGAAGACGAUCGGUGUGUAAUGGGGUGCUGGGGGCGGCACUGCGGCAACAGCAGUUCGUCUUUUCAAUCUUGGGGAACUACAAUUGACGAUGAACGAGUGGGUAGGCGGCGGAAGCAGUUUGUUUUUCAGCUCUUGGGGAACUGCAUUCAACAGUAAACUGAGUGUGUAUAGUCGACAACAAUGACUACCACUCCCUCGCCCGCCGCACGCCCGGCAGAACAUGCCCCCUCGGGUUCACGAGCAGUUCUGUAUUGGUACUGUAAUAUCAAGUGUUAAUGGCCACUUUACUUAAAUUUUAUUAGCUUUAAUUAAAAUUUAAUCUUAAAACAAGCAAAUCAUUGGCUCGUUCUAUCAAUGUCACAGGAUCAACAUGCACAUCAAUUAGAAUUAUUAUUCUCAGGACGCACACGAUCAGCUCAUUUCCUACACUUUCACACACAAUACUCCCAAGUUUGAACAACUUGUUAAUGUUGUUGUCCUCUACAUCAUCAUGCAGUGUUUCCCAACUUGCAAGAUUCAGAACCAACCAACAAGAUUCAAAUAAUAAGUAAAACAAAGAUGCCUACACAUCUCAAUGAUUCCGAGCUUGCAAGAUUCAGAGCCAACCCAUUAGAUUCAAAUAAUAAGUACAACAAAGAUGCCUACACAUCUCAAUGAUUCACAGAUUAGAGCCAAUCAAACUGUACAACUCAAAUGUUGUGAGAAUGUGAAAAAAUAAAUAAAAUUUGAUCGAUGCUUCAUGUAAGCAAUUUGAUCCAAGGAUUUGCUUAAACAUUGAAACCAGUCCUUUUUAAGAUCAUGCAGGUCAAACGUUGGCAACAGAAAUAUUCUGCAUCACUAGUGGCACUACCAAUUCCAAUAUAUUCACAAGAGGGCCUUCUAGAUUUUGAAGUAGUGUGUAUACAACCUCGUCCUUAGUAUUUAACAAAUACACAUAGCAGAACCUAGUGGAAUCAUCAAUCAACCUCCUGAAAUAAUUCUUUAGACCUUGCACACACGCAUGGCACUUUAGAGCCUUUGGAUAAAUUGAAUCUCAGGAUUAAAUCCAUCUUGGCUAGCCGUGUCAUACAACCCAAGAACUUGGCAAAUGCCUUUGACCAUCACAACAUCUGUAGUUGAGUAUUCAUGUUUGCAUAGAUAAGAAAGAGCAUGAUUACUAUAAUAGUGGCACUAGUUAAAGCAACUUCAUUUCCAAAACAAGAAAAUUGCGAUAGAAUAGCUUUAUUAAAAAAAUACAACAUUAGCACAGUAUGACAAAGCACAAUCAUGUUGAUAUAGGACAAUACUAACCUAUGUGAGAUGACUUUGGGAGAUCAAGUUAUUCUUCAUGUCCCCAUGUCUUGCCAUCAAGGCCAUUGGUUGACAUCAAUUAACACCUUAGUGUGGCAGUAGAAGGAGGGGCGUCGUCUCAUUUCAAUCUCUUUUUUGUGCAGUCAACUAAAUUUAUGGUGCUCGCCAGUUAGAGAGGGGGCCCGUGCCACCUCGAUGGUAGGCAUGAUGGACUCAACUAUUUCAGCGGAUCUAUGUGAUUGAUGAAGUCCGCAUGGACUUGAUUCUGCUGGAUAGGCCUUCUGCAAGUUAUCUACAUUGGAAAUGAAAUGGUAGCUAACACAAUAGCUCUAUUUUAAAUGUAUUAUUACUUCAUUUUAUCAGUGGUAGUAGUGGUGCCAAAAGAUUGCCUCAAAUUAUAGUGGCAUUAAAUUAAGAUGCAAAAACAAUAUCAUUAUUGCUUUCUCAUAGCAGCGCGAAAACAGUAGCACAAGAUCACUAGCUAGAUGUGUUGGAAAUAUGCCCUAGAGGCAAUAAUAAAAGGUUAUUAUUAUAUUUCUU